UACGGAGGUGGCAAGCGUUAAUCGGAAUUACUGGGCGUAAAGCGUGCGCAGGCGGUGAUGUAAGACAGUUGUGAAAUCCCCGGGCUCAACCUGGGAACUGCAUCUGUGACUGCAUCGCUGGAGUGCGGCAGAGGGGGAUGGAAUUCCGCGUGUAGCAGUGAAAUGCGUAGAUAUGCGGAGGAACACCGAUGGCGAAGGCAAUCCCCUGGGCCUGCACUGACGCUCAUGCACGAAAGCGUGGGGAGCAAACAGG
This 253-nucleotide ribosomal RNA is filed under the name uncultured bacterium. RNAcentral's name for it is "partial 16S ribosomal RNA". It matches the Rfam family "Bacterial small subunit ribosomal RNA", at positions 524 to 776 of the family's 1533-position model. The record is from RNAcentral.